GAUGAACGCUGGCGGCGUGCCUAAUACAUGCAAGUCGAACGAACGGACGAGAAGCUUGCUUCUCUGAUGUUAGCGGCGGACGGGUGAGUAACACGUGGAUAACCUACCUAUAAGACUGGGAUAACUUCGGGAAACCGGAGCUAAUACCGGAUGAUAUUUUGAACCGCAUGGUUCAAAAGUGAAAGACGGUCUUGCUGUCACUUAUAGAUGGAUCCGCGCUGCAUUAGCUAGUUGGUAAGGUAACGGCUUACCAAGGCAACGAUGCAUAGCCGACCUGAGAGGGUGAUCGGCCACACUGGAACUGAGACACGGUCCAGACUCCUACGGGAGGCAGCAGUAGGGAAUCUUCCGCAAUGGGCGAAAGCCUGACGGAGCAACGCCGCGUGAGUGAUGAAGGUCUUCGGAUCGUAAAACUCUGUUAUUAGGGAAGAACAUAUGUGUAAGUAACUGUGCACAUCUUGACGGUACCUAAUCAGAAAGCCACGGCUAACUACGUG
This 497-nucleotide ribosomal RNA is filed under the name uncultured bacterium. RNAcentral describes it as "partial 16S ribosomal RNA". It matches the Rfam family "Bacterial small subunit ribosomal RNA", at positions 28 to 507 of the family's 1533-position model. The record is from RNAcentral.